GAAGAUUUUUCCUCGGAGCCUGAAGUCCAAGAGCAAUAAAAGGAAGAGAAGUGAUCACAUUCGCAAUAGUUUCAGCAACAGUACGAUCACCAUGGCAACUGCAACGGAUGGGCCUGAGGCAACCAGGCCUUUGCUGCCAAACUCUCUGCACUAUUAGGUGGUGUCUUGUUCCAACAGGAAAACUUGCAUGGCUCCGUCUAUGUAAGCCUCCAUGUUGUUUUAUCUCUUCCAAUGCAAAUGGUGAAUGAGGCACCACUUGCACUCCAUGCACACCCUCCAAGGCUGUCUUAGGAUUCACUGGACUCUGGGUACCCAUCUGCAAUUGGGCAAUCAGUCAAUUGAAUAUGACUGACUGCCAGCAUUAAUAUG
RNAcentral lists this unclassified non-coding RNA (369 nucleotides) under Hevea brasiliensis (rubber tree). The record is from RNAcentral. Lineage: Eukaryota; Viridiplantae; Streptophyta; Magnoliopsida; Malpighiales; Euphorbiaceae.